CCUACGGGGGGCAGCAGUGAGGAAUAUUGGUCAAUGGACGAGAGUCUGAACCAGCCAAGUAGCGUGAAGGAUGACUGCCCGAUGGGUUGUAAACUUCUUUUAUAAAGGAAUAAAACGAGGCACGUGUGCCUUUUUGCAUGUACCUUAUGAAUAAGGAUCGGCUAACUCCGUGCCAGCAGCCGCGGUAAUACGGAGGGUCCGAGCGUUAUCCGGAUUUAUUGGGUUUAAAGGGAGCGUAGAUGGGUUGUUAAGUCAGUUGUGAAAGUUUGCGGCUCAACCGUAAAAUUGCAGUUGAUACUGGCAGUCGUGAGUACAGUUGAGGUAAGCGGAAUUCGUGGUGUAGCGGUGAAAUGCUUAGAUAUCACGAAGAACCCCGAUUGCGAAGGCAGCUUACUAAACUGUGACUGACAUUGAUGCUCGAAAGUGUGGGUAUCAAACAGGAUUAGAUACCCCAGUAGUC
This 460-nucleotide ribosomal RNA is filed under the name uncultured bacterium. RNAcentral's name for it is "partial 16S ribosomal RNA". It matches the Rfam family "Bacterial small subunit ribosomal RNA", at positions 338 to 795 of the family's 1533-position model. The record is from RNAcentral.